UGGCUCAGUCGGUAGAGCAUGUGACUCUUGAUCUUGGGAUCGUGGGUUCAAGCCCCAU
This 58-nucleotide transfer RNA is filed under the name Felis catus (domestic cat). It matches the Rfam family "tRNA", at positions 8 to 63 of the family's 71-position model. Rfam says of the family: Transfer RNA (tRNA) molecules are approximately 80 nucleotides in length. Their secondary structure includes four short double-helical elements and three loops (D, anti-codon, and T loops). Further hydrogen bonds mediate the characteristic L-shaped molecular structure. tRNAs have two regions of fundamental functional importance: the anti-codon, which is responsible for specific mRNA codon recognition, and the 3' end, to which the tRNAs corresponding amino acid is attached (by aminoacyl-tRNA synthetases). tRNAs cope with the degeneracy of the genetic code in two manners: having more than one tRNA (with a specific anti-codon) for a particular amino acid; and 'wobble' base-pairing, i.e. permitting non-standard base-pairing at the 3rd anti-codon position. The record is from Rfam by way of RNAcentral. Lineage: Eukaryota; Metazoa; Chordata; Mammalia; Carnivora; Felidae.